CCAGACUCCUACGGGAGGCAGCAGUGGGGAAUAUUGCACAAUGGGGGAAACCCUGAUGCAGCAACGCCGCGUGAGUGAAGAAGUAUUUCGGUAUGUAAAGCUCUAUCAGCAGGGAAGAAGAAAGACGGUACCUGACUAAGAAGCCCCGGCUAACUACGUGCCAGCAGCCGCGGUAAUACGUAGGGGGCAAGCGUUAUCCGGAUUUACUGGGUGUAAAGGGAGCGUAGACGGCCAUGCAAGCCUGAUGUGAAAGGUGUGGGCACAACCCGCACACUGCAUUGGGAACUGUAUGGCUAGAGUGUCGGAGGGGCAGGCGGAAUUCCUGGUGUGGCGGUGAAAUGCGUAGAUAUCAGGAGGAACACCGGUGGCGAAGGCGGCCUGCUGGACUGCGACUGACGUUGAGGCCCGAAAGCGUGGGGAGCAAACAGG
RNAcentral lists this ribosomal RNA (429 nucleotides) under uncultured bacterium. RNAcentral describes it as "partial 16S ribosomal RNA". It matches the Rfam family "Bacterial small subunit ribosomal RNA", at positions 331 to 776 of the family's 1533-position model. The record is from RNAcentral.